AAAGGAUCCAUGUUUAAUAUACGUGAAUUCACAGGGAUUAAUAUUGCAAUUAUUCCCGAUCCUGAAACACUGCAUGGAGACAUGGAUUAAAAUGCAAAGCCAUCUAAAUUUUUGGAAUCAAUUAAAAAAGAACAUAAAACAAAUCAGACGCAGAAGGAAGCGGAUCAGAACGCAGCGCAAAGAAAAGGGAACUGCCGCAUAAAUAAUCCCUUUGAGGCGCAAAGGCGCAAAUCCGGGGCUCCAGGCGGGUAAGCGCGCGGACCUUUCCGCUCCUGUGCGACACCGUUUCGCUUUUAAUGUUAAAACCCUAUUUCCAUUCUUUCCUUCUCAAAGCAGAUGCAAAAAAAAUACAAAACCCUUGCUCUGUGUGGGUUCAUUUCAUCACGCAGCCAUGAACAUCCAUCAGUUUGAUGGCCAGUGGUGCGGAUAAGGUCCAGAUCUAGCCAACAAGGGUUGCGUUUCCAAAAAUCAGGUAACCUCACUCCUUUUUUUUUACAAAAAAAAAUGUGAAUCUUAUACUGUUUUUUUUUAAAACAAAGUGAAAUAAAUUUCACAUAUAUUCAAACAAAACUUUAAUCUCACUCGACCCUCGCCCACAUCUAUGUAUAUCUGAGAUGUUUGGGGCUUUUCAUCGGCGUCGAUUUAGAUUUCUCCCUUUUAUUAUUCGUGCUAAAUCUGCGAAUCAAUCAAAGAAAAUAUAGAAAGGAAAAAAAAAAUUGGGAUUCACCUUUCGAAUUUUUGAGCUAGAUUUUGAAUAUCUAAUGUGCAUGCGUAUAUUGAGUGUAAUGUGUGUGUGUAAAAUUUCUGGAGUACAAAAUGAGGCCUUUUAAUAGCCGAAAUUACAGAAAAAUAGCGAAAAAAUAGUAUAUUUUCUUGCUGUCAUCUGCCCAUUUCUGUUAUUCCAUUUCUUCUCGUGUGUUCUCUUGCAGGAACGGCCGUACAGAGGAGCGACCUUGGUGACGUGGAGACUAAACGUCAAAAAUUUUUACGAGAGGCUGACCUUCUGGUGCCAUUCUGGCUUACUCCAGAAGCUUCUAGCAUUCUCAGGAUGCUGAGACAAAUUUAAUUUUUGGGUAUAUUGGGCCUCUGUUUUUGGGCUAGAUUUAGGACGUGAGUUAAUUUUUAUUGGGCUUUGGAAAUUUAGAAUUUGGGUCAAACAUUAUGUAAUUAGGGCUAAAGAAUUUUGGGGUAUUUGGUUAGAAAAUGGGUUUAUUGGAAUUGGGUUUUAAUUUUAUGUAAAGGGUUUUGGGUUAUUUGUUUAAUUGGGUUAGGUGUUUGUAAAUGGACUUUUUGGACUAUUUAUUUGGGUUUAUUUAUUUGCAAAUAGGCCCGGGCAAAAUUGGUUAACUACAAUAAUAAUAAUAAUAAUAAUAUUAUUAACAUUAACAUUAACUAAUAAUGCGUAAUAAGAUGGAAAUGUAAACAUUAUGAAAGUAAAAUAAGGGCAAAGAAAUAAUAAAUAAAAUAAUAAAAAUGAAAAGUUGAAAUUAAAUAAAUAAAGGAUUCAAUUGGAAUUAAAAUAAAAUUAAGGGCAUAAAUUAUAAAAAUAAGUAAAUAGACUAACGAAGGCUAGAAUGUAACACACUAAAAAAGGUUAGGGAUUGAAUAGAAAAAUAUUCCUAAACAAAGGACUAAGGUGCAACACGCUAAGAAAAAUAAGGGUUGAAAGGGAAAAUAUCUCAGACUUCCUUAUGUGCAUCGUUUGAAGGGACCAAAAUAAAGGAAAUUGAAAUUAAAUGGGAUAAAUUUAAAAAGACAAAAAUAGAAAUAGGAAUGUAUUGAAAAAGGUGUAAAAAGCGGAAGGACCAGAAUGGUAAUUAGACCUUCAUCGCGAAAACAUGCGAAUCCUAAAAUCUCGGGUCUGGGAAUGAGGUUAUUUUUAAAACGAAACCGUUUUGGCGCCUAAAGCUUUG
Molecule: long non-coding RNA, 1913 nt
Filed under: Gossypium barbadense (sea-island cotton)
Lineage: Eukaryota; Viridiplantae; Streptophyta; Magnoliopsida; Malvales; Malvaceae
Description: long non-coding RNA (GBAR_LNC011617)
Source: RNAcentral